UCAUCGUCAUCGAAAGCCGGUGGUUGGC
This 28-nucleotide small RNA is filed under the name Bombyx mori (domestic silkworm). Its description in RNAcentral is "ovarian small RNA-1437". The record is from RNAcentral. Lineage: Eukaryota; Metazoa; Arthropoda; Insecta; Lepidoptera; Bombycidae.